Drosophila melanogaster (fruit fly) is the source of this 870-nucleotide non-coding RNA. The record is from Ensembl. NCBI's taxonomy places the organism in Eukaryota, Metazoa, Arthropoda, Insecta, Diptera, Drosophilidae.
AGUGGAAAGUGGACAUGAAUGUGGAUGUGGGAGUGGGGUAUACAUAUAACGCUGGCUUGGCAACUGCACCCAGUUUUCAAGUGCAUCUGCAUUCGAAGUUGAAAGCUGGUACCGAAUCCUGUGUAGCUGUGUAAACGACCUUUGAUGUGGGCCUGGUUGGUUGGUUGGUUGGUUGGUUGGUUGUUCGGUUGGUCGUUGGUUUAGUCUCGACUCGUAUUCGCAUUAACGCCAUUAGGCCAAUUUGGCACUUUGCCCUGGCCCCGAAAAGGCGCGCACGGAGAACUUUCACAAACAAAAGGUAACAAACGGCGUCAGGAUGUUGCAAUAGCUCUCCUUCUGCGCCACCUCGAAAGCCACCCGAAAAGCAGCCAAGAGUCACCCAACUACUCCGUUCCUCCUUGCCGUUCCACUCCAUGCCACUCACAUGCCAAUGCCCGUGUAAAUAAAAGUCAAGUGAGGAAAACAAAUAAAUUAGAAGCGCAUCCUCCGCUCGUUGGCAACGGGCAUUUCUCUUCGUUAUUGCGCGACUGCCUUUAAUUACGACACCAGGCGGCUGAAAGGAGCUGGAGAUGCUGUUGCAAAGUCCUGCCCGAGUAUUCCCCCACUCUCCCCAAUUUCCACUUUCCAGUGCACCCCCCCCGGUUUGCCCAGUGCCACCUCGUGCUCCGUGCUCCGCCACAGCGUAGCAUCCUCAAUUUAUGUUUAUUUGAAAGCUGUUGCACUUGACUAAUGUCCUCUCCGUCUGGCCUCUCAUCCUGCCACUUAGCAGGAUGCGGCGACAUUCACAGGCUCUUGGACUUUGGCCAUCUGGUAUUUAAGCCAUCAAAUCCACAUCAUUUUGGCCAGCAGCCCGUGUUCAGGAUGAGCAUG